Orbicella faveolata is the source of this 5768-nucleotide long non-coding RNA. Lineage: Eukaryota; Metazoa; Cnidaria; Anthozoa; Scleractinia; Merulinidae. The record is from RefSeq and is a predicted model, not a curated record.
CCACCCCUUGGAAGAGCUGUUAAAGCUAAAGCAGUCGAUGGUUCUCAAACAUCGACGACAGUGAACCCUUUCAGCAAGGCGGCAAAAGGUAUGGAGAGCGGCACAAUACUAUACCAUAAUUAAAUAUUCACAACAUCGAAAACGAUACAUGGCAGCCCACAUAGACCAACACUGAGAUCAACUUUGUCGGAACAGAAGUGGCAAAAAGGGUAAAACAAAGACAAACAACAACAAUAAGGCACGUCAAAAAAGAGAGGUAUUGAAUCUUAGAAUGGAUGUUAUUUACUCCCAGCAAAACGUGCAUUGAUUCUCCGUGAAGUACUUAAAUGAAGAUUUCUUUUAAAGGUAAAUUGUCGAUUGUUUUGCUUUGUUUUGUUUAGGCAAUGGAUACAUCCACCAUCGUCCAUUACCGGUUGUUCCAGUGACCACAGUUCUUGACGGAUCUAAAAUGGCGAACACUUACCCGGCAAAUGCCUUCGCUCAAAGCGUCAAUCCCUUCCCACGUAUCGAACAACAGGGAUUCUUGAGCAGGACUUUCAGAAAAUGGUUUGGAUACUAAUCUGCUUUCUCGUUCACUCAAAUUUAAAUUUUUUUUAAAGUUUAUUCUAUUUAUCAUAAGUUUACUUUAUUCAAGUUGAUCUUAAAUCAAGUUCAUAAUGUGUUUUAUCCUUUUUGAAUGAUUGUAAACAUCCCUGCCAAAUAGCAAUAAUGAUAUAGCAUGGAUUUGAAAACAUUUACUAUUUUCAAAUGAUUAAUUUUAAAUAUACUUGCCAAAUAUACCACCAAAUAUGAUUGUAAAUAUUUAUAUAAUGAUUUUUUCUUUCAAAAUAAUUGUGAUAACUGUAUGUUGCCAAAUGUUUUGAUAUGACAAUUGCAUAUGAUUGUAAAUAUCUUGGAAAUACCACUGAGUUGUAAAUAAGGUUACAAACAUGAUGUUUAUAUGCUGCGACAUUCAAAGACGUUCUUUUCAAAUCAUUUUACGUUGUAAGUAUUUAUAUACAACUGACUUUGCAAACUUAGCCGCCGAUUCAGUCUAAAAAUUGUUUCCGCUAUAUCGAUAUGUCCUGACUUUUCAGUUAAAGCCUUUCAUGCCUGUUUCAUUAAGUUAAGUGGUAUUUGUUUGCAAACAUGUUUGCAAACGUGUUUGCUUGCAGUUCCACGAUUCUUAUAGACACAGCUUUAACGUUUUCAGUUUUUUGCAAGUACCGUAAAAUUCCGAUUACAAGAACCCACCCACCCUUCCCCGAUUAUUCUACAGACACAAGCUCUAUUACCAAUAUGAAUUCCUCUAAUAGUACCCACGUAACCGCUCACAAAAAAGUAGGGGAGGGGAGGGGGGAGGGGAGGAGGGGGCAAAACGCGUGGAACCCAGGCUAAAAAAACAAACAUAGGCCUUCGUCAAAGAACUAAACUUCUUUCGAUAAUAACACCACUCUUACCCCUACCCUGAGUAUUUGUCAGAAGCAAAUACCCCACUGGAAAAUAAGCCUUCUAAAAUACUUUGGAAUAAGUAUAGGUCCAGGGCAGUGUCGGAAUUUUAUGGUAUGUUACAACCACUUUUAUAUGCCAAUGGCGUUUGAAAUACACAUUGUUUUACUAGCUAGCGAUUGUAAGUCUUUAGGGUACUAUGUAGAAUAAGACAAGGAAUACUUCCCAGGCUUAGGAAUCACCUAAGUCUGGGAGGUGAAAGAUGAGAAAUUAUCAUAAAGAUAAGACAGCCAAUAGGCAUUCCUUCUCUAAUCUCACAUAAUCUCUUUAUAAAAGUUACAGAGUUCUAUCUACUUUUCAGUAUUUUCUCUCGCAGCGAAACAACUUACACGAAUGAGUAUACAAAUUGAGUACUAACAUCUAAGUGGCAUAUGUAAAUGCAAUUUAUACAACUAAGAAGAUUUCAUGUAACAUUUAAGUUAAGUGAUGGUGGAUUAAACAUUGAGAUUCUGGAAAUUGUGUUGUUUCUUCUUCCUGUCAGGGAGUAGGCAGGCAUUUAGCAGCCGCUCUCUUGAAGUAUGAAAGCAAUCAAACUUUCACCGCCCGGCCGGGUUAAAUCUGUUUUAGCUUCCUUAUCUUAGCUUGGGAAAAAAAACUGUUCUUAACAUUAAUUGUGAUAGGUUCACUGUCGUUAACAAUCGCAAGGUGAUAAUUAAUCAGCAAGCCAUUUACAGCAAAGCAAGCAGUUUUCUUUUUACUGAGGUUGGUUCGGACUAAGUUCCUCCUCAGACAUUCCAUUCGGUAACAUAUUACUGGGACCAGCAGAAUGUCAAAAAUGUUACUCGAUUGCCGUUUGCCGGAGGCAACCACCCCGAGGGGGGGGUAUCCCCUGUAACAGCCUAUACGGAGAGGCUCCGCCAGAAAGGGGUACCUUUUUCAGUCUUCAGGUAUAUAAAAGGGUAGGGAAAUCUGUUAUUUAGAUAUAAGGAGAACGGAAACUGAAUAAAGAUCAAUAAAUGAAACCUGAAUUUUUGGUUAACAUUUCUUCUGGUAAUGCUUGAUGUUCUCCCGUAGUAUUGUUUAUUAACUUCAUUCCGAGGGUUUAGAAAAGGGUGUGUAGUGUUCUCAAGUAGGUAGGUGUGUUACCUUUUUUCAAUACAAGGUAAACGAAAGGGGUACCAUUUCUGUCAAAAUGGUAUACAAAAGGGUAAGGGCUUGGACCUCGGGGGGAGCCUCCCCGGACAAAACUUUGUAUUGUACCCCUACUCCCUUUCCCACUGUGGGGGUAGCCAUGAUGAGUUGUGUAUUUCUGCGCACAGGUUUCUGGGUAUGUUUAUUGCACCGACUUUGAACAGUUACACGAGCUAGUCAAAUUUUAUGCCAGUUACUUGCGAUGGGAUCCCAAGCCAUAAAUAUACUGCAUAUGGCCCCAUAGUUUCCUUUUUCUGUGUACAAAAUUGGCGAUCACGGUUUCGAGGCGUGGGUGAAAUAUUUUGGUCAAUUGUGAUCUAAUGGUGUUACGAGGCCGAAGUCUCAAUGGAGUGUAUACUCCAUUGAUUCCCUUCAAAAAAGAACAAAAUCAUAGUAAAUGUUACAAAAUAUAUCAGACUUCGGCCUCAUAAUAUCUAUUAAAAUCAAAAUUUGUUUGAAGGGCAUGCUCAACACCUUCUCAUGUCUUCCAAGUACAUCCCACCUGGGUACCACAUUCGAGUGAGGUACAGUUGGGCACUUUUCAUUCGACCAAAGAUUCGGGUUUGAAUCCCCGGAAAUUUAUUGUGGCGAAAGGAACUUACAGCAUUUUCAGGAAUUUCCGAAAUAGUUGGAUAUGGAUAGACGGAUAUCUUUGCAUUCAGUAAUUUUAUUUUGGAUUUACUUAAUAAUAUUUUAAUCUACCACUGAUCUACAAAAAAUACUGCUCCACACACCCUUGUAAGUUUUUUUUUUUACAACAAGACUGUACAAGUCGUUGUGAUAUGCGCGCUUUUAAAUCACUAGCACUAACUUUUACCGUAAGCUGUACUCAGCUAAGUAAUUUAACUUUUGGAUUUGGUGUUUUCAACUACUGCACUGUUUAAGGACACCGUUGUGGGGUGCUAACCGGGCAGAAACAGAUAUAUUUGAACCCUUAUAGGAAACUGGUGAGGGCACCAAUUUAUAUAAGUUAAAAAAAUUAUAAAAUACAAAUAAAUAACAGAAGUCACUGCCGACCAAAUUCAAUGGUCUUGACAUCAGAGAAGAGAUUUAACAUCAAUUAAGACUAAUCAAGGGCCUCCUUGCCAUAUUUAGAUUUUUCUGUUCUAUUAACUCACAUUCGACCCUCCGUAUUAUUUCACAAGAACUACUGUUAAUCGUAGGCUUUAAGAAAAUACGUAUAAAGGACGAAACAAGAAAAAACAAUCGUGUUAGGAAGGGACAAAUAUUGUGACCGAAGCACAUAUUGUGCCCGUUUCAACAUUCAAAUCGUCUCGUGACACUUUCCUUGAAAUAAAAAUUGCAUGACGAGAAGCACUGCCUAACCAAACCAAUAGUGUCACAUACAUAUAGACAUUUCUGGUCGUUUCUUUCUUAGCAUUACGGGAAGGAUUUCACCAGCCCAAACUAAAGAGAAGGGUGCUCUUUCCUUUGUUUCCACAUGCCAUUUGUCUUUUAUGCCCAGGGCCCAGCGAUCUUAACAAACUGUUUGGGACUGGGAAUGAGGUUGAUGAGGGAAUGAGGAAUGUGGUCCCUUACUCAUUCUCACUCGGCUGAUAUCAGUGAUAGCAAUGAUACGGCUACUUGCAGUUUACAGUACUACUGAACUCUUGUGCUCUGAUGGAUGUUUCAUGCAAACAAACAAUAAAAAGAAUUUUGUUUUUCUGCACAAUAGCUACAUGUUAUUGUAUUUACCCGUCAGUCUACUAAAGUUGUCCAAUCAAUUGCAUGGCAUUAAUGUUCAGUGUAUGAAAUUAAUUUUUUUUGCAACCUUGGGCAAAAAGGUGUUUGAGAAUUUCUUAAAACAAAUUGUUUUUCAAAAAAAGAGGGGAAAAGUGUACCUGAUCACUGAAGUUAGUUAAAUUUCUAAGUAUUAAGAUUACAAAAUUUAAAUAAUAAACUUAUUGUAUUUGUCUGCCUUGGUCUAAUGUGUAAUUUAAAAGAAUCUUGUGACAUUCAUUAAUUGAUUAGUUAAAUUCGUGACCAUUAUAAAAAAAUUUCUCUGUCAUUUAAACUAAUAUUGCAGUCUACAUUUCACUCAUUCUUUCUCCAUUACAUUCUUUUUUAUAAUUAUCUUAUUUUUCCAAAUAUUGCACUGAAAUAGUACUAUGCAAACGACACAUACAGGCUUAAGGGUACAUGUAAUUGCCAAUCAGAAUACCAGGUACAAAAUCAAGUUUGACAAACGCAGAAGUAGAGCUUCCACAACUCUACAUAUGUGUUUUGGUGAUCCAAGUUUUUGUGCUCAUGCACCCCUAUAAAAAGUAUAUGCACAGCAGGUCUGGACCCAGAAUUCAUGUUACUCUGAGUAACAAUAACAACAAAAUAAACAUUUCUGGUAGCAAUUCCAAUAGAGUCAAUGACUGAGCCAACGGCCUGCAGUUGAGAAGUUGUGUUAAAACAAAAUUACCCACAGAUGUUUUUUUUUUACCACUGAUUGAUACGUGUAUCUUUACCAUUGGUGCCAUGCUGAUGUUACAACUCCGAAUAACAUUUCAAGAUGGUUAUUCGAUAGAAUGUGAAUGAAAUGAGGAAGGUGAGUUUUUCAUCCAGAAUUCUGACUGGAUUUUGAACGACAGGAAAACUCCCUGAGUCCUUUUGUGUAGAUUUGCCAGAAAGAAUACAUGUCUUUCUGACUGGGUGUACUGUAACCAGGAGUGGUCAUUUUGCAGUGGAAAGUUAGUAUCCCUUUGGCUUUCUAUGGCACCAUACCACUCAGUAUUUUUGGCACCAUGCAUGUGUAUAAUUUGAGGCAAAACAGACAGGCAAUGCCUCUUCUUCUCAUUCCCUACCAUUUGACGGCCUGGAACAAGCUACUCUAUACAAUAUCAACUACCAACUUUGUACAAUGUUGCCAAAACAACCUGUAAAUUUUCACUGUAAUGGUACUUACUACGAUGGCAUGCAUGUAUAUUAAGUAAGGUGUACUGUUAAUAUUAUAAUAAUAUUAAUAUUAUUCAUGGAAAUAGUUUAUACAUUCCAGUCUUCAGCUAGGAUCCAGACCUCCACCUGGAGGAGUCGCCUCUGGAGUGUGCCUCUGAAAUUGUGAUAUAAAUCAGAACAAUCACUGCAUAGCUGAUUACUGCUGACAAAAACAUGGUCUAUGUAAAGAGAAAAUUUUCUGACUGAUAAUUCAAACAAAUGAAACU